GUGGGGAAUUUUGGACAAUGGGCGAAAGCCUGAUCCAGCCAUGCCGCGUGUGUGAAGAAGGUCUUCGGAUUGUAAAGCACUUUAAGUUGGGAGGAAGGGCAGUAAGUUAAUACCUUGCUGUUUUGACGUUACCGACAGAAUAAGCACCGGCUAACUUCGUGCCAGCAGCCGCGGUAAUACGAAGGGUGCAAGCGUUAAUCGGAAUUACUGGGCGUAAAGCGCGCGUAGGUGGUUUUGUAAGUUGGAGGUGAAAUCCCCGGGCUCAACCUGGGAACUGCCUCCAAAACUGCAUGACUAGAGUACGGUAGAGGGUAGUGGAAUUUCCUGUGUAGCGGUGAAAUGCGUAGAUAUAGGAAGGAACACCAGUGGCGAAGGCGACUACCUGGACUGAUACUGACACUGAGGUGCGAAAGCGUGGGGAGCAAACAGGAUUAGAAACCCUUGUAGUCC
RNAcentral lists this ribosomal RNA (450 nucleotides) under uncultured bacterium. Its description in RNAcentral is "bacterial SSU rRNA". It matches the Rfam family "Bacterial small subunit ribosomal RNA", at positions 354 to 796 of the family's 1533-position model. The record is from RNAcentral.